This is a long non-coding RNA of Juglans microcarpa x Juglans regia, 142 nucleotides long. RefSeq lists it as uncharacterized. The record is from RefSeq and is a predicted model, not a curated record. The transcript has 3 exons. NCBI's taxonomy places the organism in Eukaryota, Viridiplantae, Streptophyta, Magnoliopsida, Fagales, Juglandaceae.
GAGAGAGAGGCAACUCCUCGAAAGGAAAAGAAAAAAUUAUUGUAUUUGUACUGGAUUGUCACAUUUAUAAUAGUUUUGGCUUGGUUCGAAUAAAUUGUAUGUAAAUUGCACGUUGUAUGGAGUAUAUCAAAAUUUUUGAAUG